Capsicum annuum is the source of this 792-nucleotide long non-coding RNA. RefSeq lists it as uncharacterized. The transcript is spliced from 2 exons. Lineage: Eukaryota; Viridiplantae; Streptophyta; Magnoliopsida; Solanales; Solanaceae. The record is from RefSeq and is a predicted model, not a curated record.
GACACCAAUUAAAACAAGGAUUUGUAAGAAAGGGGUGAUAAAAACACCCCUGCUAAUUCCACCUAAUGAUAAUAGAAUCUGCUGAUAAAAGCUUUUUAUCACCCAUGCUAAUUCCACCUUUCUUUUUGUGUUUGUUUUAAAGGGUGUUUGCAGUGGUGGGGUUGGACGGGGCGGCGAGAGAGGGUGAAUUAUUUGGGGCUUUUGAUUAGUUAGUGUUGCUGAGUUGAUUUUCCAUCAAAUUCCGUUGGAAAUUUUGAAUUUGAGGCUCCGCCGCGGCAGCACCGCCAUGGCCGAAAAUUGCAUCUAGUGGUGCUGUGUUCGAACUCAAAUUUGUAGCGAUUGGCUUAGUAGAUUUUAGGGCUUUUUGGUGGGAUAUGCUCGCGGGAGGCUGGCGCUGCUCCUGAUGUUGCUCCGUCGCCGUCAAACUCGCUGGAGCUUCGGCGACGGCGGUCAACAGUGGUUGCUCCGUAGCUUUCUUAAGAGGGGUGCCAAAGCACAUUGGAAAUGAUAUGUGGGAUGUUGCAAUGGAAAGGCGGGACAAGAAAAUGAUGGAGAUGCUUGCUUCUCCUUCUUCUUCUUCUUCUUCUUCUUCGUCUUAGGCCAUGUUUCUCAUUAUUUGGUACUUUAAUUAGUUGCCCCUUUUAAUAUUAUCAUUUUUGUUUUGAUGCUAAUGAGGGAGAUUUCCGUUUGUCUGUUAGAUGAAUUAGGGUUGUUCUUCUGUUCUGUUGAUUGGUGGUCGAACUUGCUUACUUUUGAUUAAAUUUUGAUAAAGGGUGCCCUUUGAUGAUGAAA